AAAAGCUCAAAGCAUUUGGUGCUUAUAAGUUUUUCGCCGUUAGAUUUAUCCCUUUGACCGUUUUCACCCGUUAGAUCAUACUAUUCAACUAACCACCUAUUCAAUCCUAUAAAACCACUAUCAUUCUAAACGCACAUCCCUUAAUCUAAGGGCCGAAAACCUACAAACACCAAUAAUUUGAUAUUUUUACAAGUAUAGGAGUUCAAUUCUCCCUCUCUCUCUCUCUCUCUCUCUCUCUCUCUC
Molecule: long non-coding RNA, 243 nt
Filed under: Ananas comosus (pineapple)
Lineage: Eukaryota; Viridiplantae; Streptophyta; Magnoliopsida; Poales; Bromeliaceae
Description: long non-coding RNA (ACOM_LNC037526)
Source: RNAcentral